ACAACACCUUGCUACGCCACACCCACACGGGUACUCAGCAGUGAAUAACAUUAAGAAAUAAGCGAAAGCUUGACUUAGCUAUGAUUAAGUUUGGCCGGUAAAUUUCGUGCCAGCCACCGCGGUUAUACGAAAGGCCAAAAACAAUGACCCUCGGCGUAAAGCGUGACCAGAAUAAUGUCAAAAAAAUUGAAGGAAAACCAAGCCAAGAUUGUAAAAUAUAUUGGCACAAGAACUCCACCAAUAAAAUGCCUUCAAAUAAAAGACUAUUCAACCUCACUAAAGCUAGGAAACAAACUGGGAUUAGAUACCCUACUAUGCCUAGCCCUAAACAUAGAUGGUUAAACACACAAAACCAUUCGCCAGAGAACUACAAGCGAAAAGCUCGAAACUCAAAGGACUUGGCGGUGCUCCACAUCAUCCUAGAGGAGCCUGUCCUAUAAUCGAUACCCCACGCUUUACCCCACCAUUCUUUGCAACUCAGCCUAUAUACCGCCGUCGUCAGCUUACCCUGUGAAAGAAACAAAGUAGGCAAAAAAGUUUACAACUAACACGUCAGGUCAAGGUGUAGCAGAUAGAAUGGAAGAGAUGGGCUACAUUUUCUGCCACAGAAAAAUACGAAAGGUGUAAUGAAACACACACCCAAAGGAGGAUUUAGAA
RNAcentral lists this ribosomal RNA (657 nucleotides) under Tiliqua scincoides. RNAcentral describes it as "partial 12S ribosomal RNA". It matches the Rfam family "Bacterial small subunit ribosomal RNA", at positions 307 to 1293 of the family's 1533-position model. Lineage: Eukaryota; Metazoa; Chordata; Lepidosauria; Squamata; Scincidae. The record is from RNAcentral.